CUGGGGAAUCUUGUAGAUGCUCAAUAUGUCUGCCAUUUGGAGGGAGGUAUCAAAGUCCAGUCCCCCAAUAACUGCCACCAGGUGUUUCUGGGUGCCGCACUUGUAGUUGGGUAUAAAUGUGGAGGGAAGGUUCAGAGCAGCCCGAUAGGUCAUCCUUUCAUUGAAGUAACUGUCAUAGAUGUGGAAUCCUAAGGUGAUAUUUGGUAAGAUCUUGGGGUUCUCAUUGAUCUCCUUGACAGCAAAUAUCAAGGCCAGAAUAUGCUGGUAGUUCUUUGGCACAACACUGCAAUGAGAAUUUCAUGCUAUAUUUUUGAAAUAUAUGCUAUGCAAUUUAA
Molecule: non-coding RNA, 335 nt
Organism: Podarcis lilfordi (Lilford's wall lizard)
Lineage: Eukaryota; Metazoa; Chordata; Lepidosauria; Squamata; Lacertidae
Source: the annotation of a GenBank genome assembly